Molecule: ribosomal RNA, 429 nt
Filed under: Chloroflexota bacterium
Lineage: Bacteria; Bacillati; Chloroflexota
Description: Chloroflexi bacterium partial 16S ribosomal RNA
Rfam family: Bacterial small subunit ribosomal RNA
Source: RNAcentral
UGGGGAAUAUUGCACAAUGGGCGCAAGCCUGAUGCAGCCAUGCCGCGUGUAUGAAGAAGGCCUUCGGGUUGUAAAGUACUUUCAGUCGGGAGGAAGGUGUCAAGGUUAAUAACCUUGGCAAUUGACGUUACCGACAGAAGAAGCACCGGCUAACUCCGUGCCAGCAGCCGCGGUAAUACGGAGGGUGCAAGCGUUAAUCGGAAUUACUGGGCGUAAAGCGCACGCAGGCGGUUUGUUAAGUCAGAUGUGAAAUCCCCGGGCUCAACCUGGGAACAGCAUCUGAUACUGGCAAGCUUGAGUCUCGUAGAGGGGGGUAGAAUUCCAGGUGUAGCGGUGAAAUGCGUAGAGAUCUGGAGGAAUACCGGUGGCGAAGGCGGCCCCCUGGACGAAGACUGACGCUCAGGUGCGAAAGCGUGGGGAGCAAACAGG